UCUAAUAUGGCAGACUAGUGCAAUGGAUUUAAGCUCCAUAUAUAAAGUGAACCUUUUGUUAGAA
This 64-nucleotide transfer RNA is filed under the name Calineuria stigmatica. Its description in RNAcentral is "tRNA-Leu". The record is from RNAcentral. Lineage: Eukaryota; Metazoa; Arthropoda; Insecta; Plecoptera; Perlidae.